RNAcentral lists this ribosomal RNA (253 nucleotides) under uncultured bacterium. RNAcentral describes it as "partial 16S ribosomal RNA". It matches the Rfam family "Bacterial small subunit ribosomal RNA", at positions 524 to 776 of the family's 1533-position model. The record is from RNAcentral.
UACGUAGGUGGCAAGCGUUGUCCGGAACUACUGGGUGUAAAGGGAGCGCAGGCGGGAAGCCAAGUCAGCUGUGAAAACUACGGGCUUAACUUGUAGACUGCAGUUGAAACUGGUUCUCUUGAGUGAAGUAGAGGUUGGCGGAAUUCCGAGUGUAGCGGUGAAAUGCGUAGAUAUUCGGAGGAACACCGGUGGCGAAGGCGGCCAACUGGGCUUUAACUGACGCUGAGGCUCGAAAGUGUGGGGAGCAAACAGG